UACGAGUGCCCCAAGCGUUAUCCGGAAUCACUGGGCGUAAAGCGUCCGUAGGCGUCCUAUCAAGUUUCUUGUUAUCUCCAGUGCUCAACAUUGGAGGAGCAAGAAAAACUGAUAGGAUAGAGGAUAUCAGAGGCCGGUGGAACUCACGGAGUAGGGGUGAAAUCCGUUGAUACCGUGGGGAACACCGAAAGCGAAGGCAGCCGGCUAGGGUAUUCCUGACGCUGAGGGACGAAAGCGUGGGGAGAGAACGGGAUUAGAUACCCCGGUAUUCCACGCCGUAAACGAUGCUGACUAGGUAUUUCGAGUGUCGACCCUCGGAGUGCCGAAGCUAACGCGUUAAGUCAGCCGCCUGGGAAGUACGGCCGCAAGGCUAAAACUCAAAGGAAUAGACGGGGGCUCACACAAGCGGUGGACCACGUGGCUUAAUUCGAUGAUAAGCGAAGAACCUUACCAGGGCUUGACAUGCUAGGAUGUACGUCGGCGGAAACGUCGGCGGACCGUCAAUUCGGAGCCUAGCACAGGUGCUGCAUGGUUGUCGUCAGCUCGUGCCGUGAGGUGUACCCUUAAGUGGGGAAACGAGCGUAACCCCUAUCCUGUGUUUCAAGUGUCACAGGAGACUGCCCCGAUAUUUCGGGGAGGAAGGUGGGGAUGACGCCAAAUCAGCAUGGCCCUUAUGCCCUGGGCGGCACAGGUGGUACAAUGGCCGGUUACAAUGGGUUGCGAAGUCGUAAGACGGAGCUAAUCCCAUCAAAACCGGUCUCAGUUCGGAUUGAGGUNUGCAACUCGACCUCAUGAAGCCGGAAUCGCUAGUAAUCGCGGAUCAGCCACGCCGCGGUGAAUAUGUCCCUGAGCCUUGUACUCACCGCCCGUCACAGCAGGGGAGUUAGCUCUAUCUGAAGUCCUCGCAUAAGCGGGGCCGAGGAUAGGGUUAAUGACCAAGCUG
RNAcentral lists this ribosomal RNA (943 nucleotides) under Microgenomates bacterium clone OPS68. Its description in RNAcentral is "bacterial SSU rRNA". It matches the Rfam family "Bacterial small subunit ribosomal RNA", at positions 524 to 1482 of the family's 1533-position model. The record is from RNAcentral. Lineage: Bacteria; Candidatus Microgenomatota.